Molecule: ribosomal RNA, 158 nt
Filed under: Microthielavia ovispora
Lineage: Eukaryota; Fungi; Ascomycota; Sordariomycetes; Sordariales; Chaetomiaceae
Description: 5.8S ribosomal RNA
Rfam family: 5.8S ribosomal RNA
About the family: 5.8S ribosomal RNA (5.8S rRNA) is a component of the large subunit of the eukaryotic ribosome.
Source: RNAcentral
AAACUUUCAACAACGGAUCUCUUGGUUCUGGCAUCGAUGAAGAACGCAGCGAAAUGCGAUAAGUAAUGUGAAUUGCAGAGUUCAGUGAAUCAUCGAAUCUUUGAACGCACAUUGCGCCCGCCAGUAUUCUGGCGGGCAUGCCUGUUCGAGCGUCAUUU